CAGAUUGCGAGCAGGGGAGGGACAGAGAGAGAGGGGGACACAGUAUCCAAAGUAGGCUCCAGGCUCCGAGCUGUCAGCACAGAGCCUGACGUGGGGCUGGAACCCAUGAACAGGGACAUCAUGACCUGGGCCAAAGUCAGACGCUUAACCGACUGAGCCUCCCAGGCGCCCCCAACACCAGCUCUUUCAAAAAGCCCCUCUUGACUGCCCUCCCUCCCUCCUUCUCCACUCCAGCUUCUUCAAGGAGCUGACUCCGCCAGCUGUCCCCACGCUUUCCUCCCCCACCGUCCCCAACCGGUUUUUGUCCCGUGUGCCAAGGCCACCUCCACGGUUCUUCUCUGUGACACCUGCUCUCUAGGCUGUCUCUCUCUUCCCUCCAGCACCUCCCCCCAUGUGGGCCUGCCCUGUUUCUCUAUUACCCCUCCUGGACGGUCUCCUCUGGUGUCCGGGCUCUAACUACCACCUCUAUACCCCAACCCCCCCGAAAUCGUGUUAACCUGAUAUCUGCGUUGGGCUGUCCAGCAGGCUCGCGGGGCUCAGAGAGCUCAGCGCGCCAGACGCGGGACCCCCAUUUGCCCUUCUGGAUUCGCCUCCAUCCACCAGCCAGGUCCACUCUUCUCUGCUGCCCAAGUAGCCCACCCACCCCUCCGUCGCCAGCUCCGGCCCCCUCGUGCAAGCACCCCCUGAAUAGCUGCCCGUGACUGGCCCCACCUCUUCCGGGGCCCCUGCCCUGCAGGUGGCCGGCAACCCACCCCCACGGCCACCCCUUCUCAGAGGAAGGUUUUUCAACACGUGAGAUGAAAUUCGUGGAAUCACAAAGGAAACCACUUGGUUUUGAAUCCAGUCAUCAAAAUCUGUUUUAAUCGUGGCUAUGAGAGCAGAUGUGCUUCUUUGUCCGUGCAUUAAAUAAGCUCUCACACCUGGGGUCUUCUCAGACACCAGGAUUUCAAACCCACAAGUGUAAAUAUCAUCUCAGAUCCACAACUGCAAUGCAAUAAAAAAGAUCGGUGACUUCCGUUAGGAACAAAGUCGCGGGUGAUUCUAUUUUUUUUAAUUUGAUUUUUUAAAUGUUUAUUUGUUUUUGAGAGAGAGAGAGAGAGAAAGAGAGAGAGAGAGAGACAGUGUGAGUGGGGAAGGGGCAGAGAGAGAGGGAGACACAGAAUCCAAAACAGGCUCCAGGCUCCGAGGUGUCAGCACAGAGCCCAACAUGGGGCAGAAACUCACAAACCGUGACAUCAUUACCUGAGCCAAAGUUGGAUGCUUCACCAACUGAGCCACCCAGGUGCCCCUAGUUUAAUUUUUUAAAUGUUUAUUUUUGAGAGAGAGAGACACACAGAGUGCGAGCGCGGGGGGCACAGAAAGAGAGGGCAGGGGGUGGGGGGGGGGGCAUAGAACCUGAAGCAGUCUCCAGGAGGGGCUUGAACUCACUUGAACUGAACUCACUUGAACUCCAGGAGGGGACUUGAACUGACACAGGGCUUGAACUCACGGACCGUGAGAUCAUGACCUGGCAGAAGUUGGACGCUUCACCGACCAAACCACCCAGGCGCCCCUAAAGUUGCAGGCACGCACAGCCUUCUCGGACUCGGGAACACCAGACAGCCCUUCAGCAUCAUGUGUGGAGCCAUUUUAGAUAGCAAUAUCAGCAACAAAAAGCACAAAAAUGUGAAAUCCAUCCAUGAAUCAGCAGGCCACAAGAAGAACACCUGUUUACAACAGAGGAGUUGAAACAAGAAGGAAGUGAAGGCAUCACACAAAAAACAAGCAAGCAAACAAACAAAAACGGCAGGAAAAUCAAGCAAAGACCUUCCACUCUGUUGAGAUGUUGGUGCCUGCUGGAGGUUCGAGGUCCCGUGUGAAAAGGGAAAAGAUAGUAUCACAGGAUCCCAAGGAGCUAAGAGGGCAACUGCUACUUGUCGCUGACUUAAGGGAUGGGAAGGAACGGGGAAAGGGAGCGGUUUCUCUCCAGGACGUGCAGGGCCACUUGGGGAUGGAAAAUUUCCCUCCUCCGCAGACCUGGGGGCAAGGUCCUCUUCUCUUCUCCGUCC
Acinonyx jubatus (cheetah) is the source of this 2048-nucleotide long non-coding RNA. RefSeq lists it as uncharacterized. The record is from RefSeq and is a predicted model, not a curated record. The transcript is spliced from 3 exons. Lineage: Eukaryota; Metazoa; Chordata; Mammalia; Carnivora; Felidae.